CGAAUUUGAUUUGUAUAGUUUUGUUUUAUCAUUAUCGAUUCGUUCAAGAUCUAUUUUGACACUAUUUUCAAUUUUCAUCCAUACUCAUUAUACCUGAAAUGAGUAUCAACUUUGAAUUUUGAACCAGCAAUCCCUUCUUUCAAUCACAGAUUCAAAUAGAAAGAUUUUCUCCAGAAAUGCUGAUACGCUUAAAUUUAAUCUGAUAAUAAUACCAGAUUCAGAUUUACCGCUUAUGAGUUACAACAGUUUAAUAACGUUUACACUGGAGAAGUAUAGAAGGAUAAUAAAUUGCAUACCUACCGCUUGCUGGUUCGUGAUAAAAAAAAUCACCUUGCAUACUUGGGUACCUUUUUAUUUUUAUACAAAUGUAUUUUGGUAUUGCAUUUUGUCAAAAUAUGCGUAUCUAAGGUAAUAUUUUGUCUGAUCUACGGCAGUAAAAUUCAUUUUCGUUUUAAAAAUGCAAUACGAUAAUAUUUUUUACCAAGAUUUAAACAUUUUUUCGUUUUCCCUCCCCCACUAUCUCCGCCCAUUUUGCGAGGUCGUAUUUAGCCUCCCACCCUCCUCUAAAUUCAAAAUCCUCAUUACGCCACUGUGUGGUAAGUAUAAAUUAUUAUUGUAGUGUAAACUCGUA
Non-coding RNA from Cinara cedri, 631 nucleotides. NCBI's taxonomy places the organism in Eukaryota, Metazoa, Arthropoda, Insecta, Hemiptera, Aphididae. The record is from the annotation of a GenBank genome assembly.